This 253-nucleotide ribosomal RNA is filed under the name uncultured bacterium. RNAcentral's name for it is "partial 16S ribosomal RNA". It matches the Rfam family "Bacterial small subunit ribosomal RNA", at positions 524 to 776 of the family's 1533-position model. The record is from RNAcentral.
UACGUAGGGCGCGAGCGUUGUCCGGAAUUAUUGGGCGUAAAGAGCUCGUAGGCGGUCUGUCGCGUCUGCUGUGAAAUCCCGAGGCUCAACCUCGGGCUUGCAGUGGGUACGGGCAGGCUAGAGUGCGGUAGGGGAGAAUGGAACUCCUGGUGUAGCGGUGGAAUGCGCAGAUAUCAGGAAGAACACCGAUGGCGAAGGCAGUUCUCUGGGCCGUAACUGAGGCUGAGGAGCGAAAGCGUGGGGAGCGAACAGG